CAAUAGCGUAUAUUAAAGUUGUUGCGGUUAAAAAGCUCGUAGUUGGAUUUCUGCCGAGGACGACCGGUCCGCCCUCUGGGUGAGUAUCUGGCUCGGCCUGGGCAUCUUCUUGGAGAACGUAGCUGCACUUGACUGUGUGGUGCGGUAUCCAGGACUUUUACUUUGAGGAAAUUAGAGUGUUUCAGGCAGGCUUAGCCGGAAUACAUUAGCAUGGAAUAAUUGAAUAGGACUACUGUCCCGUUGUUGGUUACGUGGAUAGGAGUAAUGAUUAAUAGGGAUAGUUGGGGGCAUUAGUAUUUAUUAGCUAGAGGUGGAAUUCUCUAAUUUGAUAAAGACUAACUUAUGCGAAAGCAUUUGCCAAGGAUGUUUUCAUUAA
RNAcentral lists this ribosomal RNA (376 nucleotides) under uncultured eukaryote. Its description in RNAcentral is "partial 18S ribosomal RNA". It matches the Rfam family "Eukaryotic small subunit ribosomal RNA", at positions 592 to 976 of the family's 1831-position model. The record is from RNAcentral.